Molecule: ribosomal RNA, 61 nt
Filed under: Aspergillus sp. Jcma1F17
Lineage: Eukaryota; Fungi; Ascomycota; Eurotiomycetes; Eurotiales; Aspergillaceae
Also listed under: 2 other names
Description: partial 28S ribosomal RNA
Source: RNAcentral
GGUUGACCUCGGAUCAGGUAGGGAUACCCGCUGAACUUAAGCAUAUCAAUAAGCCGGAGGA